AGAUAAAGAGCUUAAUGCUGUGUGUAUCAGUUAUGUCCUUUGUGUUCCUUCUCGUUACUUUCUGCCAUGUGGGAGGCGUCCCUAGACUUUUGAGUGCUGUUUUGAAGUUGAUACAGUAAUUCCAUGGCAGUUCUUGUCUAAGGAGUUCUGUGGUCAGGAAACAUUUAAAAGUAUUUGAUCUUAUCUACAGGAAAGCAGGAUGGAAAGCAGUGAAAAUUUUAAAGAGUCGAGGGGAAGAAGAGGAAAAGCCUGUGAUCUAGGUUGCUGAUGGAGAUGAGUUUGCAGUAGCUGGUGACUUGCACAUUCUACUGAAUUUUUUGGUUUUCGUCUCUGAAACAGCUUACCCACCAGAUGCAAGAGGCAAAAAUUAUAUAAAUUUUAUAAGGACAAUAAUACAAGAACCAUUUAGUGACUUGUGAUACUUAUGUAUAGAAUAAUUCAUAAGAAAUUUUCACUUUGAAUAGUUGCAUAAAAUCUGUGUUUGUUGUUUCCUUCAGUUAUAGGUUUUCUUUUAGAAAAAGAAGGUGUUCAGGAUUUGCAAUACCAUUUAAACUGGUUUUUUUAGAUGCUGUGUUAGAGCAAAUGAAAAUAAUUUAUUGAAAGAAAUUGCUCAAUAUGUCCAAGAGUCUGACGAAGGAAAAUGCUUUACAUGUACAGUUUUAAUAAUACAACAUAUCUAAUCCAGUAGAGGGAGCUGGAAUGCUGUUCUACUUUCUCAGUGUUUGUACUAGAGAUAAACAACUACCUAAUAGAAUUAUAUUUAAUUUCAAUAUGAUUUUUAUCUUUAGAACACCAAAUUAUUUUCAUAGAAAUUUUCUUUUAAAAAAACUAGACAGAGUUGUCUUUCUUGUAACCCUUUCUGUCUUUUCUAUAUCAAAGAAGCACAGAAUGGGUGAGGUGGCAGAGACCGCAGUGGUAUACACCCCUUGCUCAAGCAGGGUCAUCCUAGAGCACAGGACAGAGGAUUGUGUCCAUAUGAAUAUCUCCAGUGUGGGACACUUCACAGCCUUUGUGGGCAAUUUUUUCCAAUGCUCAGCACUGACACAAUAAAGAAGUUCUUCCUCUUGUUAAGGUGGA
Long non-coding RNA from Passer domesticus (house sparrow), 1077 nucleotides. RefSeq lists it as uncharacterized. The transcript has 4 exons. The record is from RefSeq and is a predicted model, not a curated record. Lineage: Eukaryota; Metazoa; Chordata; Aves; Passeriformes; Passeridae.